RNAcentral lists this long non-coding RNA (396 nucleotides) under Chrysemys picta bellii (western painted turtle). Its description in RNAcentral is "lncRNA (ENSCPBG00000013630.1)". Lineage: Eukaryota; Metazoa; Chordata; Testudines; Emydidae. The record is from RNAcentral.
CACUUCCAAACGAUACCCCUGCCAUUAACAGCCGGAUUCCUCCAGCGGCUCUCCCUCUCACUGAUACCAGCCCAGAGACAGAAAUACCACCACUGGCCCCAGAGGUGAAUCUGUUCCCUGCGUGCCAGACUGUGGCGCUCUGAGAAAUACCAGCCUUGCGAAUGUGCGGCCCGGGCUACAGGCAGACCAGGAAGAGGGCAGUUUGGGGUGAUCCCUGCAGAGUGGGGUAAUCCUUCUUUCCACUUAAUAUCCCCCGCAAAGGCUUUUCCUAGGAUUAACCAUUCGGCUCAGUUUGCGCAUAGUCGUUGUAUGACUGGAUUCCUGCAUGCAACUGCUGCUGCUUGGACUGAAAGAAGUGCUUCCUGGGUUUCCUUCUUGCCAUUGGCAUCUUGGUGA